GGGCCUAUAGGCUCAGUGGUAGAGCACAUGCUUAGCAUGCAUGAGGUCCUGGGCUCAAUCCCCAGUACCUCCU
Molecule: transfer RNA, 73 nt
Filed under: Camelus bactrianus (Bactrian camel)
Lineage: Eukaryota; Metazoa; Chordata; Mammalia; Artiodactyla; Camelidae
Also listed under: 2 other names
Rfam family: tRNA
About the family: Transfer RNA (tRNA) molecules are approximately 80 nucleotides in length. Their secondary structure includes four short double-helical elements and three loops (D, anti-codon, and T loops). Further hydrogen bonds mediate the characteristic L-shaped molecular structure. tRNAs have two regions of fundamental functional importance: the anti-codon, which is responsible for specific mRNA codon recognition, and the 3' end, to which the tRNAs corresponding amino acid is attached (by aminoacyl-tRNA synthetases). tRNAs cope with the degeneracy of the genetic code in two manners: having more than one tRNA (with a specific anti-codon) for a particular amino acid; and 'wobble' base-pairing, i.e. permitting non-standard base-pairing at the 3rd anti-codon position.
Source: Rfam by way of RNAcentral